CCUACGGGUGGCAGCAGUGAGGAAUAUUGGUCAAUGGACGGAAGUCUGAACCAGCCAUGCCGCGUGCAGGAAGACGGCUCUAUGAGUUGUAAACUGCUUUUGUACAAGGGUAAACCUGAAUACGUGUAUUCAGCUGAAAGUACUGUACGAAUAAGGAUCGGCUAACUCCGUGCCAGCAGCCGCGGUAAUACGGAGGAUCCAAGCGUUAUCCGGAUUUAUUGGGUUUAAAGAGUUGCGUAGGUGGCAUAAUAAGUAGCUAGUGAAAUCUGGUAGGUCAACCAUUCAGACUAUUAGCGAAACUGUUAAGCUAGAGACCGUUAGGGGUAACAGGAAUUUCUAGUGUAGGGGUGAAAUCCGUAGAUAUUAGAAGGAACACCAAUAGCGAAGGCAGGUUGCUAGGACGGUUCUGACACUAAGGCACGAAAGCGUAGGGAGCAAACGGGAUUAGAUACCCGGGUAGUC
This 462-nucleotide ribosomal RNA is filed under the name uncultured bacterium. RNAcentral's name for it is "partial 16S ribosomal RNA". It matches the Rfam family "Bacterial small subunit ribosomal RNA", at positions 338 to 795 of the family's 1533-position model. The record is from RNAcentral.